Molecule: ribosomal RNA, 229 nt
Filed under: uncultured bacterium
Lineage: Bacteria
Description: partial 16S ribosomal RNA
Rfam family: Bacterial small subunit ribosomal RNA
Source: RNAcentral
CGGGGUGAGUAAUGUCUGGGAAACUGCCUGAUGGAGAGGGAUAACUACUGGAAACGGUAGCUAAUACCGCAUAACGUCGCAAGACCAAAGAGGGGGACCUUCGGGCCUCUUGCCAUCGGAUGUGCCCAGAUGGGAUUAGCUAGUAGGUGGGGUAACGGCUCACCUAGGCGACGAUCCCUAGCUGGUCUGAGAGGAUGACCAGCCACACUGGAACUGAGACACGGUCCAG